RNAcentral lists this ribosomal RNA (410 nucleotides) under uncultured Rhizophagus. Its description in RNAcentral is "partial 28S ribosomal RNA". Lineage: Eukaryota; Fungi; Glomeromycota; Glomeromycetes; Glomerales; Glomeraceae. The record is from RNAcentral.
GAGAGUUAAACAGUACGUGAAAUUGUUGAAAGGGAAACGAUUGAAGCCAGUCGUACCAGCGGAUAAUCAGCCUUUAGAUGCGAUUUUGUGGAGCGUGAAGAGCUAAUCGCCUUCAUGCCUGUAUAUUCGUGUACUUGGGGUGUACUUAUUCGUGUGGUAAGUUAACAUCAAUUUUGGUUGUCAUAAAAUGAUUGGAGGAAUGUAGCUUCGAUCUCGUAUUGAAGUGUUAUAGCCUUUGGUAGAUGUGAUGAUCGGGAUUGAGGAUUGCAACGGAUACCCUUCGGGCUACCUGUCUGAUCUCUGAUUGUUGCUUUGGUGCUGAAAGCUUGCUUAUGGUUAUCAAAGUCGAUGGUCAAUAGGUUAGAAUGGGUUAAAUUCGUUAAGGAUGUUGACGUAAUGGCUUUAAACGA